RNAcentral lists this transfer RNA (74 nucleotides) under Vibrio phage 6E35.1a. Its description in RNAcentral is "tRNA-Gln". It matches the Rfam family "tRNA". From Rfam's summary of the family: Transfer RNA (tRNA) molecules are approximately 80 nucleotides in length. Their secondary structure includes four short double-helical elements and three loops (D, anti-codon, and T loops). The record is from RNAcentral. Lineage: Duplodnaviria; Heunggongvirae; Uroviricota; Caudoviricetes; Pantevenvirales; Straboviridae.
AGGGGAUUGAUGUAAUGGCAGCAUACGAAACUUUGACUUUCGCAGUAUCGGUUCGAGUCCGUUAUCCCCAGCCA